UCAAAGCCAAGCUGUCCUGUAUUGUAUUGUAGGGCCCAAACUGUUGUGGGCUCCUCUCUCUUAAGCAUGGCGUGGGGAGAAAUGAGAUCGGAGUCGAUGGGAGAUAGUGAAGCUCGAGAAGUAGGAAAAGUUGCCACUGAGAAACUGUACGAGGCAGGCGGGGAUGGAGAGGAGGAGGAUGAAUUAAGUUCCAGAUGAGAAGAAGCAACACAACUGAGAUUUGGAGGUGGGAGAGGAUGUGGUCCAAGGCUUGCUUCAUUGGGUUGUUAUAAAGAGCGAACACUAAGAUGUUCGUGAAUUUCAUUCAACAUACAUGAAGUGAGAAUUUUUUCUUUCAUUAAUAAAAAGAUAAGCAGUUA
Molecule: long non-coding RNA, 359 nt
Organism: Pantherophis guttatus
Lineage: Eukaryota; Metazoa; Chordata; Lepidosauria; Squamata; Colubridae
Source: RefSeq, a predicted model, not a curated record